This 345-nucleotide long non-coding RNA is filed under the name Volvox carteri. RNAcentral describes it as "long non-coding RNA (VCAR_LNC003483)". The record is from RNAcentral. Lineage: Eukaryota; Viridiplantae; Chlorophyta; Chlorophyceae; Chlamydomonadales; Volvocaceae.
CAGGGAUAUACGCAUCAUACUUAGCACUUUAAUACCACGAUCCAGGUUGGGGAAGGAAAUGUGAUGUACCGACGGACGACAGCAGUAAAACGCCUCACAGAAAGGCCGUAAGGUCCAAAGUCAUCGUGUUCAGUAACGCUCCGAAAAAUGUCCCCGAAAAAUAACAAACACAGGCGCGUCGCAACUUGCUCACACGCGCAGAACCGCUCAUUGCGAAACCGGUUUCCGUUGCAAAACUCAUGAAACCUUUACAUUUUUAGGUCAUCGAUUAAGGCUUUUUUAUACGUGCUAAUUCACAGCAGCUAGAGAAAUUGAAACCAUCCUGAUUCGUUUUCGGGCGGGGCC